Molecule: ribosomal RNA, 382 nt
Filed under: Ensifer meliloti
Lineage: Bacteria; Pseudomonadati; Pseudomonadota; Alphaproteobacteria; Hyphomicrobiales; Rhizobiaceae
Description: Sinorhizobium meliloti bacterial SSU rRNA
Rfam family: Bacterial small subunit ribosomal RNA
Source: RNAcentral
GCUCAGAACGAACGCUGGCGGCAGGCUUAACACAUGCAAGUCGAGCGCCCCGCAAGGGGAGCGGCAGACGGGUGAGUAACGCGUGGGAAUCUACCCUUUUCUACGGAAUAACGCAGGGAAACUUGUGCUAAUACCGUAUGAGCCCUUCGGGGGAAAGAUUUAUCGGGAAAGGAUGAGCCCGCGUUGGAUUAGCUAGUUGGUGGGGUAAAGGCCUACCAAGGCGACGAUCCAUAGCUGGUCUGAGAGGAUGAUCAGCCACAUUGGGACUGAGACACGGCCCAAACUCCUACGGGAGGCAGCAGUGGGGAAUAUUGGACAAUGGGCGCAAGCCUGAUCCAGCCAUGCCGCGUGAGUGAUGAAGGCCCUAGGGUUGUAAAGCUCU